Astyanax mexicanus (Mexican tetra) is the source of this 1785-nucleotide long non-coding RNA. RefSeq lists it as uncharacterized. NCBI's taxonomy places the organism in Eukaryota, Metazoa, Chordata, Actinopteri, Characiformes, Acestrorhamphidae. The transcript is spliced from 5 exons. The record is from RefSeq and is a predicted model, not a curated record.
AAGAAAUGAAACACUGAUAUUGUUCUCAUUACAUAAAUGAUUAUGCUGAAAUUACUCUUACUUUUUAAAUUUUUACAGUCAAAAUAAUCAAGUUUCAUUGCAUUAAAAUAAUAGUAUGAGAUUUCAAUGCAACACAAUACUGCAGAUUCAAACCAAUGUAACCAACUUACUUUAAACGCACUAGCACUUGAAUUGUCCCAUUGCGGUUUCCAUACCCGCAGUUUCGCACAUGCACGGUAUUUCUGAGGGGCACAGACGCCAUUUUCACCACCCCAAAAGCUUGCGAGAGACCUCCAGGUGUGUCUCGGGUUUCAACGGUAGCCAUCCAUCAUUUAUUCGGUUUGUCAGCAAGUGUCUUACCUCACUGAUGCAAAGCCAGUAGCUCAAAUGUAGUUGCUCUGAAUGUGGAGGUGCAAACAGUGUUCUGAAAGUGCAUCUACGAGAAUCCCAGUAUUGAAGUACGACGGGAGUGCAUCCUGAAAGCAUUGUGCAUCUACUUGAAUGAAAAGUCUGACGGCCUUAUGAAGGAGUACUUGGAUUUUGAUCUUGCUUCAGUGAGAGAAGUGGAGAAAAUGGUUUUGGGCGUCUACAUCAUCCGACAUGAGGGAGCAGACUCUACAGAUGUACCUGAGGAUGUUGGCAUAGUCAUUGAGGGAUGCACAGUCCUGCAAGAUCUGGGAGAUGUGGCAAAUGGAUGUGCGGUCUUGCUUGGCUUGAUCUACUGUUUAAACUUGAGCUAUCCCAAGGACCUGCGAUACACGUUCGAUUUUUUUCAGAAAGUGUUGAUGGAACUGGAUGGGAGCAAGCUCUCCAAUAAAGUGCAGGUCCUCAAAAACAAACUGCUUGAGUAAAAUCACGUACAGUAGAUACGACUUCUUGGAGUUGGAGGACUUCUUGGACAUGGAGUUAGACUUCUGUUGACUCUUGAUUAGGCAGAGAUAUUGUCUUUGGAUUUUGGACUAAUGAUGGACAAAACAAUGUGAAACAUAUUUUGGUUGAUUUUGUAAUCUGCAAUGUUUCAAGUUUUCAGCUGUGAUGCAUGUUUGAAUUUCUUCAGAAAGUGAUGGGAGUUGGAUGGGAACAAGCUCUCUAAGGUGCAGGUCCUCAAAAGUGAAAAUGCAGUAAAAUCACCUGCAGUAGUCAAAACUGGGAAUGAAGUUAGUCUAGUCUUUGGAUUUUGCACUAAUGGUGGAAAAAAACAAUUGAUCUAUAGACUUUUUUUUUUCUCAAUAAUAAUUGCUGUUUCAGCUGUAAGCACAUGUAACUUUUGUUUUCUGAGCUGGACCCAAAAACAGUUUAAAAAGGACAGCCAAUUUUGAUAUUGUUGAAGCUGUCUCAAUGCUAAUGUUGUAUGGUCAGUUUUAUUAUUUUUUUUUUUUUUAUAAUAGUAUUGAAAACUGUUACAAUAAGCUUUAGGUCUCAGGUCUUCUAAUCUGGACAUCAUGAGUCAGAUAUUUUAUGAGACAUAAAUGUAGCUUCGAGGUACUUUAGAGUUUUUUCAUGUUUGGAAAUAAAACAGUUAAAAGGUAUUCAACUUUAGUAUAAAGAAAUUGACAACCCUCUUAAAUAUGUGCAUUGAAUAAGUUUAUUUAUUUAUUUUUAAUUAUUUUUGGACUAUUUGUUUUAGUGAAAGUACAUUUUCAGUUUGUAAAUUUGUGCUUAAUUUGUUUAUGUAUUAAAGAGCAGGUUUUAUUUUGUAUUUGUUUUUUUACAUAUUGUCUUUGAUUUAUAAUGGUCUUAAUAUAAUACCUAAUGAAAUACCUUUCAUAACUUUUGACAAAAUGU